Molecule: small nucleolar RNA, 67 nt
Filed under: Pteropus vampyrus (large flying fox)
Lineage: Eukaryota; Metazoa; Chordata; Mammalia; Chiroptera; Pteropodidae
Description: Small nucleolar RNA SNORD112 (ENSPVAG00000029516.1)
Source: RNAcentral
UGAACCAGUGACAAGAAUGUUUCAAAACCAAAAGUUAUGAAUAUAGUUUUUAUACCUGAGGUCCAUU